Molecule: ribosomal RNA, 460 nt
Filed under: uncultured bacterium
Lineage: Bacteria
Description: partial 16S ribosomal RNA
Rfam family: Bacterial small subunit ribosomal RNA
Source: RNAcentral
CCUACGGGUGGCAGCAGUGAGGAAUAUUGGUCAAUGGGCUUACGCCUGAACCAGCCAAGUCGCGUGAGGGAAGACUGCCCUAUGGGUUGUAAACCUCUUUUGUCAGGGAGCAACGCCGGCUACGUGUAGCCGGACUGAGAGUACCUGAAAAAAAAGCAUCGGCUAACCCCGUGCCAGCAGCCGCGGUAAUACGGGGGAUGCGAGCGUUCUCCGGAUGUAUGGGUUUUAAAGGGUGCGUAGGCGGAAUGCCACGUCAGCGGUAAAAUCCCGGGCCUCAACCUCGAACUGCCUCUGAAACUGGCGGUCUUGAGUGGGCGAGAAGUAUGCGGAAUGCGUGGUGUAGCGGUGAAAUGCAUAGAGAUCACGCAGAACUCCGAUUGCGAAGGCAGCAUACCGGCGCCCUACUGACGCUGAGGCACGAAAGCGUGGGUAUCGAACAGGAUUAGAUACCCUUGUAGUC